Molecule: ribosomal RNA, 323 nt
Filed under: uncultured eukaryote
Lineage: Eukaryota
Description: partial 18S ribosomal RNA
Rfam family: Eukaryotic small subunit ribosomal RNA
Source: RNAcentral
CCCUUAGAUGUUCUGGGCCGCACGCGUGCUACACUGAGUGGAUCAGCGGGUCAGGUUGCGCGAAAGUGUUUCCUAAUCUUGAAAUCCGCUCGUGAUGGGGAUUGACGGUUGCAAUUUUCCGUCAUGAACGAGGAAUACCUUGUAAGCGCGGGUCAUCAUCCCGCGCUGAAUACGUCCCUGCCCUUUGUACACACCGCCCGUCGCUCCUACCGAUUGAGUGGUCCGGUGAAAUCUUCGGAUUGAGACUUUGUUUUCUUCACGGAAAACGCUGUUUUAAAAAGUUGAUUAAACCUUACCAUUUAGAGGAAGGUGAAGUCGUAACA